GCACUGCUGAGGAGUCCCAUAAUAGGACGAAACGGCAGUCCAGUAC
This 46-nucleotide non-coding RNA is filed under the name Schistosoma mansoni. The record is from RNAcentral. Lineage: Eukaryota; Metazoa; Platyhelminthes; Trematoda; Strigeidida; Schistosomatidae.